Small nuclear RNA from Hyaena hyaena (striped hyena), 106 nucleotides. Lineage: Eukaryota; Metazoa; Chordata; Mammalia; Carnivora; Hyaenidae. The record is from RefSeq and is a predicted model, not a curated record.
GUGCUUGCUUUAGCAGCACACACUAAAAACUGGAACCAUGCCGAGAAGAUUAGCAUAGUCCCUCUACAAGGACGAGGUGCAUAUUUGUGAAGCGUUCCAGUUUUUU